RNAcentral lists this ribosomal RNA (252 nucleotides) under uncultured bacterium. RNAcentral describes it as "partial 16S ribosomal RNA". It matches the Rfam family "Bacterial small subunit ribosomal RNA", at positions 525 to 776 of the family's 1533-position model. The record is from RNAcentral.
ACUGAGGGUGCGAGCGUUAAUCGGAAUUACUGGGCGUAAAGCGAGUGUAGGCGGCUACCUAAGUCGGAUGUGAAAGCCCCGGGCUUAACCUGGGAAUUGCAUUCGAUACUGAGUAGCUAGAGUUUGGUAGAGGUAAGUGGAAUUCCGGGUGUAGCGGUGAAAUGCGUAGAUAUCCGGAGGAACAUCAGUGGCGAAGGCGGCUUACUGGACCAAAACUGACGCUGAGGCUCGAAAGCGUGGGGAGCAAACAGG